AGGUGGGGUGAAAGCCAUCUGGCUGUGACAUGUCACCCCAUGGAUCACCAGGGUUGAUUCGGCUGAUCUGGCUGGCUAGGAGGGUGUCCCUUCCUCCCUCCCCCCUCUGUGUGCAUCUCUCCUAAAGAUGCUGGGUCACAGAGGACGACCAUCCUGGAUGGAGGAGGACCGUUCCUUGGUCAAGGGCAUACAAGUAACUUGGUUCCCCUGCCAAGCACACUCUCAAGGGAUCCAUAGAUUCUGUGGGUUCUGAACCAUUAACGGUCAGAAGUUCCUUCAGGCUGAUGGAUAUGAUAAAAUUAAAUGAAAAUAGAAUCUGAAAUU
Cavia porcellus (domestic guinea pig) is the source of this 324-nucleotide unclassified non-coding RNA. Its record names the gene 7SK. It matches the Rfam family "7SK RNA". Rfam says of the family: 7SK was discovered as an abundant small nuclear RNA in the mid-70s but a possible function has only recently been suggested. NCBI's taxonomy places the organism in Eukaryota, Metazoa, Chordata, Mammalia, Rodentia, Caviidae. The record is from Ensembl.